CCUACGGGUGGCAGCAGUGAGGAAUAUUGGUCAAUGGGCGCGAGCCUGAACCAGCCAAGCAGCGUGAAGGAUGACUGCCCUACGGGUUGUAAACUUCUUUUAUAAAGGAAUAAAGUGAGGCACGUGUGCCUUUUUGUACUUACUUUAUGAAUAAGGAUCGGCUAAGUACGUGCCAGCAGCCGCGGUAAUACGGAGGAUCCGAGCGUUGUCCGGAUUUGUUGGGUUUAAAGGGAGCGUAGAUGGGUUGUUAAGUCAGUUGUGAAAGUUUGCGGCUCAACCGUAAAACUGCAAUUGAUACUGGCAGUCUUGAGUGCAGUUGAGGUAGGCGGAAUUCGUGGUGUAGCGGUGAAAUGCUUAGAUAUCACGAAGAACUCCGAUUGCGAAGGCAGCUUACUAGACUGCCACUGACAUUGAUGCUCGAAAGUGUGGGUAUCAAACAGGAUUAGAUACCCCUAUAGUC
RNAcentral lists this ribosomal RNA (460 nucleotides) under uncultured bacterium. Its description in RNAcentral is "partial 16S ribosomal RNA". It matches the Rfam family "Bacterial small subunit ribosomal RNA", at positions 338 to 795 of the family's 1533-position model. The record is from RNAcentral.